Molecule: long non-coding RNA, 364 nt
Filed under: Capsella rubella
Lineage: Eukaryota; Viridiplantae; Streptophyta; Magnoliopsida; Brassicales; Brassicaceae
Description: long non-coding RNA (CRUB_LNC003585)
Source: RNAcentral
GCAACUCGAGCACGGUUGCCUAAGCAUGUAGAACAAAAUCAGGACAUAUCUUCUCUUUUUCGGCAGCAUAUACAAUAGUAAACGUAACUCUGUGGGGAAAAUAUACUCUUCUAAAGUGGAUUAAGUUUUAUGUGAAAAUAGUUGGAAAAAAAAAACAAAACUUUGUGGCUACUUUUAUUUUUGGUCCUUCAAGGGAACAGCUACAUGCCUAAAAGAUUCAUUCCUCAGGCAACAUGCACCAAUUAACAAUAGCCAAACACAACUUGCACGUUAAUAAGCUUUUUUUCUUUUCUUUUCAUCUAACUCUUUCAUUUUUUAUCUCUACCUCUCAGAUUCUUUUUUGCCCUGAAAACAUCGUUUUAAG